GACGAACGCUGGCGGCGUGCCUAACACAUGCAAGUCGAGCGAGGACUUCGGUCCUAGCGGCGGACGGGUGAGUAACGCGUGGGAACGUGCCCUUUGGUACGGAAUAGCCCCGGGAAGCUGGGAGUAAUACCGUAUGGUGUCUUCGGACUAAAGAUUUAUCGCCAAAGGAUCGGCCCGCGUUGGAUUAGGUAGUUGGUGGGGUAAUGGCCUACCAAGCCGACGAUCCAUAGCUGGUUUGAGAGGAUGAUCAGCCACACUGGGACUGAGACACGGCCCAGACUCCUACGGGAGGCAGCAGUGGGGAAUCUUAGACAAUGGGGGCAACCCUGAUCUAGCCAUGCCGCGUGAGUGAUGAAGGCCCUAGGGUUGUAAAGCUCUUUCAGCUGGGAAGAUAAUGACGGUACCAGCAGAAGAAGCCCCGGCUAACUCCGUG
This 433-nucleotide ribosomal RNA is filed under the name uncultured bacterium. RNAcentral's name for it is "bacterial SSU rRNA". It matches the Rfam family "Bacterial small subunit ribosomal RNA", at positions 28 to 507 of the family's 1533-position model. The record is from RNAcentral.